This 468-nucleotide ribosomal RNA is filed under the name uncultured bacterium. Its description in RNAcentral is "partial 16S ribosomal RNA". It matches the Rfam family "Bacterial small subunit ribosomal RNA", at positions 28 to 507 of the family's 1533-position model. The record is from RNAcentral.
GACGAAUGCUGGCGGCGUGCUUAACACAUGCAAGUCGAACGGAAAGGCCCUGCUUUUGUGGGGUGCUCGAGUGGCGAACGGGUGAGUAACACGUGAGUAACCUGCCCUUGACUUUGGGAUAACUUCAGGAAACUGGGGCUAAUACCGGAUAGGAGCUCCUGCUGCAUGGUGGGGGUUGGAAAGUUUCGGCGGUUGGGGAUGGACUCGCGGCUUAUCAGCUUGUUGGUGGGGUAGUGGCUUACCAAGGCUUUGACGGGUAGCCGGCCUGAGAGGGUGACCGGCCACAUUGGGACUGAGAUACGGCCCAGACUCCUACGGGAGGCAGCAGUGGGGAAUAUUGCACAAUGGGCGGAAGCCAGAUGCAGCAACGCCGCGUGCGGGAUGACGGCCUUCGGGUUGUAAACCGCUUUCGCCUGUGACGAAGCGUGAGUGACGGUAAUGGGUAAAGAAGCACCGGCUAACUACGUG